Molecule: long non-coding RNA, 321 nt
Filed under: Dunaliella salina
Lineage: Eukaryota; Viridiplantae; Chlorophyta; Chlorophyceae; Chlamydomonadales; Dunaliellaceae
Description: long non-coding RNA (DSAL_LNC000322)
Source: RNAcentral
AUGAUCAAAACAUACAGGAUAUGUAAUAUGGGCAUGGUGUAAAAGAGAGAAGAGUUCUAGAGAACAUAGAAAGUGAUCUGGACGAGAAUUAGAUAGAUUGUCAUAUCCUUUAUAUGUCCGUUGACCCGAGUCUCCAUCUACAUGUCCUGUAGUUAUGAGAAGCUUGUAAGUAGCUGCCAAAUCAAGGAGGCGUAUGCCCGCUCUGUUAACUUGAGAGCACCGAGAUUGCCUAUUAUGAGUAAGGUAAGGAUGUCGUGAGAGAAACUCAUAAUGUAUAUCAGAAAGUUCUUUUCUGUCGGCAAUAUGGGCAUUGAAAUCCCC